UACAGAGGUCUCAAGCGUUGUUCGGAUUCAUUGGGCGUAAAGGGUGCGUAGGCGGCGCGGUAGGUCGGGUGUGAAAUCUUGGAGCUUAACUCCGAAACUGCAUUCGAUACUGCCGCGCUUGAGGACUGGAGAGGAGACUGGAAUUUACGGUGUAGCGGUGAAAUGCGUAGAUAUCGUAAGGAAGACCAGUGGCGAAGGCGGGUCUCUGGACAGUUCCUGACGCUGAGGCACGAAGGCCAGGGGAGCAAACGGG
RNAcentral lists this ribosomal RNA (253 nucleotides) under uncultured bacterium. Its description in RNAcentral is "partial 16S ribosomal RNA". It matches the Rfam family "Bacterial small subunit ribosomal RNA", at positions 524 to 776 of the family's 1533-position model. The record is from RNAcentral.